AACAGAGAGCAAACCGCCGAUGGCCCACGCAAGUGGGAUCAGGUAAGGGUGAAAGGGUGCGGUAAGAGCGCACCGCGCGGCUGGUAACAGUCCGUGGCACGGUAAACUCCACCCGGAGCAAGGCCAAAUAGGGGUUCAUAAGGUACGGCCCGUACUGAACCCGGGUAGGCUGCUUGAGCCAGUGAGCGAUUGCUGGCCUAGAUGAAUGACUGUCCACGACAGAACCCGGCUUAUCGGUCAGUUUCACUU
This 249-nucleotide RNase P RNA is filed under the name Salmonella enterica. RNAcentral's name for it is "partial RNase P RNA component class A". It matches the Rfam family "Bacterial RNase P class A", at positions 113 to 367 of the family's 367-position model. Rfam says of the family: Ribonuclease P (RNase P) is a ubiquitous endoribonuclease, found in archaea, bacteria and eukarya as well as chloroplasts and mitochondria. Its best characterised activity is the generation of mature 5'-ends of tRNAs by cleaving the 5'-leader elements of precursor-tRNAs. Cellular RNase Ps are ribonucleoproteins. The record is from RNAcentral. Lineage: Bacteria; Pseudomonadati; Pseudomonadota; Gammaproteobacteria; Enterobacterales; Enterobacteriaceae.